AGUGGUGCUGCUCAGACAGCUGUCAUCAGCACGUGUGCGCCUGCACAGGCCCAGCACCCAGGUCAUGGCCAGCAGGAAACAUGGCCUCCCCUCUUCUCUUCGCUCCCCAGAGCUUUGAAGAGGCUCUAGGUUGGGCAUCUGUUCAUCACCUCUCUGAGGUUCAUGGCCUGAAUCCCUUCCUUGGGAAUACCCACCUUUCCUCAGCACACAGGUGGUGGGUGGGGGCACCUGCUAGAGCCUCUGGGAAAGAACCGCCCUAGUUGUCAGAGUGCCAAGGAUGGUGUCAUCGGCUGGGCUAGGGCUCUCCGUCUGUCGGUUACCAUGGUGAGUGACUGCUCAGAGGCCAGAUCAGAGAAAAUCACUGUAGCGAUAGGAAGUCCAGAUCCUCAAGGCCCCAGGCAACAGGUGUGGGGAUCUCCCCAAGUCCUCUCCUGUGCAGACUGUGUCUUCUUAGAGCAGGGCUGGAGCCACUGAGAGCUCCAGGUCAGACACCAGGCCCUAGUCAAGAGAAGCCGUUCUUAUCCCUGCCCUGGGCAGCCCUCCUGAGCCCCACUUCUGAAGCACAGUGGCAUGAGCCUUCUUCCUACACCUUUGCCAGGGAGCAACAAGGGACCUGUAGGGAAGUGACACACCUCUGAGUGUUCCCUACCAGAGCUUUCCAGCCUACUGGAUCAUCAUGAGACAUCAGACACAUUACUGCAGCUUUUGCAAGUCCCUGGUCACCCCUGACCACAUUACCCAGCUGUGAAGGGAGCUGAAGAGUCACUCUGGAGAUGUUUGAAGAGGCCACUUUGGGCAGGCUUAGACAGGUGGGUCUGUCUUUGCAGGUGGUUCUGACACACCUAUAUAUUGUAGAGCUGUAUGAGACAGUGCUUGGGGCCCAGCUCUCACCUGGCCAGUGCCAGAGAGUGCUGCUUGGCAAUGCCCCCUCAUACUACAGUCUUCUACCUACCUGAAGGAGUAGCUGCUCUAAGAACAUGAUCUAGCCCAAGGUUCAAAAAUGUGGUCAUUUCUGCUUCGGCACGCUUAUGGUUUAGAUACAAGGUGUCCCCCAGAAGUUCAUAUGU
This 1067-nucleotide long non-coding RNA is filed under the name Marmota monax (woodchuck). Lineage: Eukaryota; Metazoa; Chordata; Mammalia; Rodentia; Sciuridae. The record is from RNAcentral.